UACGUAGGGGGCAAGCGUUGUCCGGAUUUAUUGGGCGUAAAGAGCGUGUAGGCGGCCAAGUAGGUCCGUUGUGAAAACUGGAGGCUUAACCUCCAGCUGUCGAUGGAAACCAUUUGGCUAGAGUCCGGAAGAGGAGAGUGGAAUUCCUGGUGUAGCGGUGAAAUGCGCAGAUAUCAGGAAGAACACCGGUGGCGAAGGCGGCCCGCUGGGCUGUUGCUGACGCUGAGGCGCGACAGCGUGGGGAGCAAACAGG
Molecule: ribosomal RNA, 253 nt
Filed under: uncultured bacterium
Lineage: Bacteria
Description: partial 16S ribosomal RNA
Rfam family: Bacterial small subunit ribosomal RNA
Source: RNAcentral